AUGCUUGCUUCAGCAGCACAUAUACUAAAAUUGGAACGAUAUAGAGAUUAGCAUGGCCCCUGCGCAAGGAUGGCACCUGGAUUCAUGAAGCGUUGCAUGUUUUU
Small nuclear RNA from Otolemur garnettii (small-eared galago), 104 nucleotides. Lineage: Eukaryota; Metazoa; Chordata; Mammalia; Primates; Galagidae. The record is from Ensembl.